This 490-nucleotide ribosomal RNA is filed under the name uncultured bacterium. RNAcentral's name for it is "partial 16S ribosomal RNA". It matches the Rfam family "Bacterial small subunit ribosomal RNA", at positions 30 to 507 of the family's 1533-position model. The record is from RNAcentral.
UGAACGCUGGCGGUAGGCCUAACACAUGCAAGUCGACCGGCAGCACAGUAAGAGCUUGCUCUUACGGGUGGCGAGUGGCGGACGGGUGAGGAAUACAUCGGAAUCUACUUUUUCGUGGGGGAUAACGUAGGGAAACUUACGCUAAUACCGCAUACGACCUACGGGUGGAAGCAGGGGAUCUUCGGACCUUGCGCGAUUGAAUGAGCCGAUGUCGGAUUAGCUAGUUGGCGGGGUAAAGGCCCACCAAGGCGACGAUCCGUAGCUGGUCUGAGAGGAUGAUCAGCCACACUGGAACUGAGACACGGUCCAGACUCCUACGGGAGGCAGCAGUGGGGAAUAUUGGACAAUGGGCGCAAGCCUGAUCCAGCCAUACCGCGUGGGUGAAGAAGGCCUUCGGGUUGUAAAGCCCUUUUGUUGGGAAAGAAAAGCAGCAGGUUAAUACCCCGCUGUUCUGACGGUACCCAAAGAAUAAGCACCGGCUAACUUCGUG